RNAcentral lists this ribosomal RNA (150 nucleotides) under Elodea canadensis. RNAcentral describes it as "5.8S ribosomal RNA". It matches the Rfam family "5.8S ribosomal RNA". Rfam says of the family: 5.8S ribosomal RNA (5.8S rRNA) is a component of the large subunit of the eukaryotic ribosome. The record is from RNAcentral. Lineage: Eukaryota; Viridiplantae; Streptophyta; Magnoliopsida; Alismatales; Hydrocharitaceae.
CUCUCGGCAACGGAUAUCUUGGCCCUCGCAUCGAUGAAGAACGCAGCAAAAUGCGAUACUUGGUGUGAAUUGCAGAAUCCCGUGAACCAUCGAGUCUUUGAACGCAAGUUGCGCCCGAAGCCGUGACGCUGAGGGCAUGCCUGCUUGGGC